This 753-nucleotide ribosomal RNA is filed under the name uncultured marine archaeon. RNAcentral's name for it is "bacterial SSU rRNA". It matches the Rfam family "Archaeal small subunit ribosomal RNA", at positions 21 to 778 of the family's 1478-position model. The record is from RNAcentral.
GNGCUACCGCUAUUGGAGUUCGAUUAAGCCAUGCGAGUCGAGAGUCUUAGGGACUCGGCGUACCGCUCAGUAACACGUGGGUAACCUGCCCUAUGCUGGGGAAUAACCUCGGGAAACUGAGAAUAAUGCCCCAUAGUCCACCAUGCCUGGAACGGUUGGUGGAUGAAAGCUCCGGCGGCAUAGGAUGGGCCUGCGGCGUAUCAGGUCGUAGGGGGUGUAACGUACCCUCUAGCCAUCGACGCGUACGGGUGUUGGGAGACAUAGCCCGGAGAUGGAUUCUGAGACACGAAUCCAGACCCUACGGGGUGCAGCAGGCGCGAAAACUUGGCAAUGCGAGAAAUCGUGACCAGGGAACUCCAAGUGGCUGGGGUAAGACCCAGUCUUUUCUUGACUCUUCAAAGGUCUUGGAAUAAGGGGUGGGUAAGGACGGUGCCAGCCGCCGCGGUAAUACCGGCGCCUCAAGUGGUAGUCGAUUUUAUUGGGCCUAAAACGUCCGUCGCCUGUUUGGUACAUUCGUGGGUAAAUCAACCAGCUCAACUGGUUGAAUUCUGCGAGCACGGCCAGACUUGGGACCGGGAGAGGUGUGGGGUACGCUCAGGGUAGGGGGUAAAAUCCUGUCAUCCUGAGCGGACCACCUGUUGCGAAGGCUCCACACUAGAACGGAUCCGACGGUCAGGGACGAAGCCUAGGGGCACGAACCGGAUUAGAUACCCGGGUAGUCCUAGGUGUAAACGCUGUGGACUUGGUGUUGGG